GUAGGUGGCAAGCGUUGUCCGGAAUUAUUGGGCGUAAAGCGCGCGCAGGCGGUUCUUUAAGUCUGAUGUGAAAGCCCACGGCUCAACCGUGGAGGGUCAUUGGAAACUGGAGAACUUGAGUACAGAAGAGGAAAGCGGAAUUCCACGUGUAGCGGUGAAAUGCGUAGAGAUGUGGAGGAACACCAGUGGCGAAGGCGGCUUUCUGGUCUGUAACUGACGCUGAGGCGCGAAAGCGUGGGGAGCGAACAGGAUUAGAUACCCUGGUAGUCCACGCCGUAAACGAUGAGUGCUAAGUGUUAGGGGGGUUUCCGCCCCCCUUAGUGCUGCAGCUAACGCAUUAAGCACUCCGCCUGGGAGUACGGCCGCAAGGCUG
Molecule: ribosomal RNA, 373 nt
Filed under: uncultured organism
Description: partial 16S ribosomal RNA
Rfam family: Bacterial small subunit ribosomal RNA
Source: RNAcentral